UUUUCUUGGUCCUCCUUCCAGGUCUCUUCUCUGGGAAAGGCGUCGUGGCGCGCCAGAACUUAGUUAUGCUGGCUGCGGCGCAAAUGGCUGCUGGACGCCUGUGUGUCUUCAC
Felis catus (domestic cat) is the source of this 112-nucleotide non-coding RNA. Lineage: Eukaryota; Metazoa; Chordata; Mammalia; Carnivora; Felidae. The record is from Rfam.